This 575-nucleotide long non-coding RNA is filed under the name Anser brachyrhynchus (Pink-footed goose). RNAcentral's name for it is "lncRNA (ENSABRG00000005658.1)". The record is from RNAcentral. Lineage: Eukaryota; Metazoa; Chordata; Aves; Anseriformes; Anatidae.
UGCCACCGAACUAAAGUAGCAAAAGGAAGAUCUAUAUAUGAAAUUACAAUAAAGGUUGAGGCAAGUAACUUGACAGUAACUUUAAUAUAGCUUUUAUGACUAAAUUGGUAGUGAAGAAAGAGUGACACAUGCAUUAGUACGAUUGCAGCCUUGUUUCUUAUCCAGGGUCAAACUUUUUCAAGGGAAAAAAGGUCAUUGAGUACAACCCAACACAAGGUCUUAUAUAGAGAGCAUGGACUUUAAGUUCCCUGUGGUUACUCAGCUGGGCAGAGGUGGAAGGUAUCCUGGAGGAGGUUCCCCCAGACAGGGGAGCCAAGAAGCCACCACUGGUGUCUGUCUCAGUGGCGUACGUGCUCGCUUUAUGUGACAAGAUUACGGCCUUGUGACUGCAGCUCUCUCCCAUCAUCAGCCUGGCAUUAACACUGGCAGGGACGAUGAGGGAUGCUACGCGAUGUCACACAGUCACAGCAUGCCUGGGUGUUCAGGGUUGGGGCUGACACUUCCUCCUCUGGAACAGGUCAGAGAUAAAGAAGCUACAGAUUUUAAACCCAAUGGUCAUCCAAUAAAGAUUGUAG